This 103-nucleotide microRNA precursor is filed under the name Chlorocebus sabaeus (green monkey). RNAcentral describes it as "miRNA (ENSCSAG00000027546.1)". Lineage: Eukaryota; Metazoa; Chordata; Mammalia; Primates; Cercopithecidae. The record is from RNAcentral.
UGAGGCAGGAGAAUUGCUUGAACCCGGGAGGCGGAGGUUGCAGUGAGCCAAGAUCGUGCCACUGCACUCCAGCCUGGGCGACAGAGCAAGACUCUAUCUUGAA